GGACAGAUGGCCGAGCUGGUUAUGGCGCCAGGUUAAGGAUUCAGUCCUAACUCCUGGUCACGAAAGUGGCGUGGGUUCGAGUCCCACUCUGUUCA
RNAcentral lists this transfer RNA (95 nucleotides) under Blumeria graminis f. sp. tritici. It matches the Rfam family "tRNA". Rfam says of the family: Transfer RNA (tRNA) molecules are approximately 80 nucleotides in length. RNAcentral also lists the same sequence under 1 other name. Lineage: Eukaryota; Fungi; Ascomycota; Leotiomycetes; Helotiales; Erysiphaceae. The record is from Rfam by way of RNAcentral.